UACAGAGGGUGCAAGCGUUGUUCGGAAUUAUUGGGCGUAAAGGGCGCGUAGGCGGUGCGGUAAGUCUGCCGUGAAAUCUCUGGGCUCAACUCAGAGUCUGCUGUAGAAACUGCCGUGCUUGAGUGUGGGAGAGGUGAGUGGAAUUCCCGGUGUAGCGGUGAGAUGCGUAGAUAUCGGGAGGAACACCUGUGGCGAAAGCGGCUCACUGGACCACAACUGACGCUGAGGCGCGAAAGCUAGGGGAGCAAACAGG
RNAcentral lists this ribosomal RNA (253 nucleotides) under uncultured bacterium. Its description in RNAcentral is "partial 16S ribosomal RNA". It matches the Rfam family "Bacterial small subunit ribosomal RNA", at positions 524 to 776 of the family's 1533-position model. The record is from RNAcentral.